AACGAAUGCUGGCGGCGUGCCUAACACAUGCAAGUCGAACGAGAAAGGGUCUUCGGCUCCGCGUACAGUUGCGCACGGGUGAGUAACCCGCGGGUAACCUGCCUCCAAGAUCUGGAUAACUCUGCGAAAAAUGCGCUAAUACCGGAUCAGACCACAGUUCCCGCGGGAAGAGGGGUCAAAGGUAGCCUCUCCUGGCAAUCUAUCACUUGCAUAUCGGCCUGCUAAUCAGUAGCUAGUUGGUCGGGUAACUGCCUACCAAGGCAAAGAUGGUUAGGUGCUCUGAGAGGAUGAUCAGCCACACUGGCAAGGAGACAAGGACCCGACUCCUGAGGGAGGCAGCAGUGGGGAAUAUUGCGCAAGGGGCGAAAGCGUGACGCAGGAAAGCCGCGUGAGUGAUGAAGGGCUUCGGGUCGUAGAGCUCUGUCGGGAGGGACGAAUGCUCCUGAGGUUAACAGCAUCAGGAGGUGACGGUACCUGGAAAGGAAGCACCGGCUAACUCUGUG
This 503-nucleotide ribosomal RNA is filed under the name uncultured bacterium. Its description in RNAcentral is "partial 16S ribosomal RNA". It matches the Rfam family "Bacterial small subunit ribosomal RNA", at positions 29 to 507 of the family's 1533-position model. The record is from RNAcentral.